AGGGACAUCAUAGUGCAAAGAUCUUAACAAUCAUCUUAUUAUCUCUUUAGCAGCCAAGCUCAUUAAAAACAUUGUGUUGGAAAACCGACGCACAUCUACAAGUAAUCACACCACUGGCAGUCAACUCUUUCUGAAAACCUUGGACCAUAGCCCAGGCUAAAAAGAAUAAAAAAACUGCAUUUGUUCUACUUUUUCAGAUAUGUUCCAUGUUGAAAAGCCAACAGAGGGACACACAUAAAGGGAGGAAACACGGGGAUUCCACAAGAGGGACUCUCCCUUACAUAACCAUUCAAGCAGCGUUCUUGUAGAUUUCCUGCCGAAAACCCAUGUGCUGCGCUCACAUGAUGCUAAGGCACUAAAGACAAAAUGAAGGUGACUCCCUCUAGGACUUGAGUCGCUCUAAUGCAAAUUGUCAGAAACCACUUGAAUGGUUUUGAAUAAACUUGGGUGAAUGACGCAUCUUGUCAGACAGCAUGGCACUGAUUGGCCCGUGGGGACGAUCCAUUAUUUGUUGGGGGUGACAUGUCCCCAACAAAACAUUUGCCUUGUUUGCAUAGCGAGUGUCAGCUCACAUUUACUGGCCUAUCAGUGGAAAUAUCCCAUCUGCUCUGGCUCUCAGAAAAACACAACAGACAUUCGACGGGACAUUCAGCAGGAAGGUCUCUGCUGUCAAAAGUCCAUAGGGAAUAGGGCACCCUAUUGGACACACAAUAGUCUGAAGUUCACCCCCUCCAAGGUUACACCACAACAAUAACUCUAUUGGUGUUGCAACGUCAUCAACAACACAAAACGUUAAUUUAGCGUUUAAAGAGGUACUGUCUUCCAUAUGCUACUACAGUGAGGUGACCAGAAGUGAAACAAUGUUGGCCAUAGGUGGCAGCAGUUGGGCGUGGCCCAGUGCCGCCCCUCGCCGUGCCCUUUGACCCCAGUGACUGGCCCGAGCGACU
Esox lucius (northern pike) is the source of this 947-nucleotide long non-coding RNA. RefSeq lists it as uncharacterized. The record is from RefSeq and is a predicted model, not a curated record. The transcript has 4 exons. NCBI's taxonomy places the organism in Eukaryota, Metazoa, Chordata, Actinopteri, Esociformes, Esocidae.